AUAUCAAUAAGCGGGGAAAAGAAACUAACAAGGAUUCCCCUAGUAACUGCGAGUGAAGCGGGAAAAGCUCAAAUUUAAAAUCUGGCGGUCUCCGGCCGUCCGAGUUGUAAUCUAGAGAAGUGUUAUCCGCGCUGGACCGUGUACAAGUCUCCUGGAAUGGAGCAUCAUAGAGGGUGAGAAUCCCGUCUUUGACACGGACUACCAGGGCUUUGUGAUGCGCUCUCAAAGAGUCGAGUUGUUUGGGAUUGCAGCUCAAAAUGGGUGGUAAAUUCCAUCUAAAGCUAAAUAUUGGCGAGAGACCGAUAGCGAACAAGUACCGUGAGGGAAAGAUGAAAAGAACUUUGGAAAGAGAGUUAAACAGUACGUGAAAUUGCUGAAAGGGAAACGCUUGAAGUCAGUCGCGUUGGCCGGGGAUCAACCUUGCUUUUGCUGGGCGUACUUUCCGGUCGACGGGUCAGCAUCAAUUUUGAUCGUUGGAUAAAGUCCAGGGGAAUGUGGCAUCUUCGGAUGUGUUAUAGCCCUUGGUCGCAUACAACGGUUGGGAUUGAGGAACUCAGCACGCCGCAAGGCCGGGUACUUGUACCACGUUCGUGCUUAGGAUGCUGGCAUAAUGGCUUUAAUCGACCCGUCUUGAAACACGGACCAAGGAGUCUAACAUGCCUGCGAGUGUUUGGGUGGAAAACUCGGACGCGUAAUGAAAGUGAAAGUUGAGAUCCCUGUCGUGGGGAGCAUCGACGCCCGGACCAGACCUUUUGUGACGGAUCCGCGGUAGAGCAUGUAUGUUGGGACCCGAAAGAUGGUGAACUAUGCCUGAAUAGGGUGAAGCCAGAGGAAACUCUGGUGGAGGCUCGUAGCGAUUCUGACGUGCAAAUCGAUCGUCAAAUUUGGGUAUAGGGGCGAAAGACUAAUCGAACCAUCUAGUAGCU
This 926-nucleotide ribosomal RNA is filed under the name Hebeloma aminophilum. RNAcentral's name for it is "partial large subunit ribosomal RNA". It matches the Rfam family "Eukaryotic large subunit ribosomal RNA", at positions 40 to 952 of the family's 3401-position model. Lineage: Eukaryota; Fungi; Basidiomycota; Agaricomycetes; Agaricales; Hymenogastraceae. The record is from RNAcentral.